RNAcentral lists this ribosomal RNA (499 nucleotides) under uncultured Spirochaeta sp. RNAcentral describes it as "bacterial SSU rRNA". It matches the Rfam family "Bacterial small subunit ribosomal RNA", at positions 903 to 1382 of the family's 1533-position model. Lineage: Bacteria; Pseudomonadati; Spirochaetota; Spirochaetia; Spirochaetales; Spirochaetaceae. The record is from RNAcentral.
CGCCAGCCCGCUCAGAAACUUAAAGGAAUUGACGGGGGCCCGCACAAGCGGUGGAGCAUGUGGUUUAAUUCGAUGGUACGCGAGGAACCUUACCAGGGCUUGACAUACGUUGGAAGCGCAUCGAAAGGUGCGUGCCGCUUGCGGCCGGCGUACAGGUGCUGCAUGGCUGUCGUCAGCUCGUGCUGUGAAGUGUUGGGUUAAGUCCCGCAACGAGCGCAAUCCCUGCUGCCUGUUGCCACCACGAGAGGUGGGGACUCAGGCGGGACCGCCGGUGACAAACCGGAGGAAGGUGGGGACGACGUCAAGUCAUCAUGGCCCUUAUGUCCUGGGCUACACACGUGCUACAAUGGCCGGUACAGAGCGCAGCGAGGCCGCGAGGCGGAGCGAAUCGCUUAAAGCCGGUCCCAGUACGGAUUGGAGUCUGCAACCCGACUCCAUGAAGUUGGAAUCGCUAGUAAUCGCGCAUCAGCAUGGCGCGGUGAAUACGUUCCCGGGCCUU